UACGAAGGAUCCAAGCGUUAUCCGGAUUUAUUGGGUUUAAAGGGUGCGUAGGCGGCUUUUUAAGUCAGUGGUGAAAGCUCCAUGCUUAACAUGGAAAUUGCCAUUGAUACUGAAGAGCUUGAGUACACUUGAAGUGGGCGGAAUAUGUCAUGUAGAGGUGAAAUUCUUAGAGAUGACAUAGAACACCGAUUGCGAAGGCAGCUCACUAAAUUGUAACUGACGCUGAGGCACGAAAGCGUGGGGAUCAAACAGG
Molecule: ribosomal RNA, 253 nt
Filed under: uncultured bacterium
Lineage: Bacteria
Description: partial 16S ribosomal RNA
Rfam family: Bacterial small subunit ribosomal RNA
Source: RNAcentral